GACGAACCGUCCGAACGUUGUUCGGAAUCACUGGGCUUAAAGGGCGCGUAGGCGGGCUAUCAAGUCCGGGGUGAAAUCCUCCAGCUUAACUGGAGAACGGCCUCGGAUACUGAUGGUCUCGAGGAAGAUAGGGGCACGCGGAACUGUGGGUGGAGCGGUGAAAUGCGUUGAUAUCCAUAGGAACUCCGGUGGCGAAGGCGGCGUGCUGGAUCUUUUCUGACGCUGAGGCGCGAAAGCCAGGGGAUCGAACGGG
This 253-nucleotide ribosomal RNA is filed under the name uncultured bacterium. RNAcentral's name for it is "partial 16S ribosomal RNA". It matches the Rfam family "Bacterial small subunit ribosomal RNA", at positions 524 to 776 of the family's 1533-position model. The record is from RNAcentral.